AUUGAACGCUGGCGGCAUGCUUUACACAUGCAAGUCGAACGGCAGCGCGGGCUUCGGCCUGGCGGCGAGUGGCGAACGGGUGAGUAAUGCAUCGGAACGUGCCCAGUAGUGGGGGAUAGCCCGGCGAAAGCCGGAUUAAUACCGCAUACGACCUGAGGGUGAAAGCGGGGGACGGAAAGGCCUCGCGCUAUUGGAGCGGCCGAUGUGGGGUUAGCUAGUUGGUGGGGUAAAGGCUUACCAAGGCGACGAUCCGUAGCUGGUCUGAGAGGACGACCAGCCACACUGGGACUGAGACACGGCCCAGACUCCUACGGGAGGCAGCAGUGGGAAAUUUUGGACAAUGGGGGCAACCCUGAUCCAGCCAUGCCGCGUGCGGGAAGAAGGCCUUCGGGUUGUAAACCGCUUUUGUUCGGGAAGAAAUCCUCUGGGCUAAUACCCCGGGGGGAUGACGGUACCGGAAGAAUAAGCACCGGCUAACUACGUG
Molecule: ribosomal RNA, 484 nt
Filed under: uncultured bacterium
Lineage: Bacteria
Description: partial 16S ribosomal RNA
Rfam family: Bacterial small subunit ribosomal RNA
Source: RNAcentral